GCGCGGAAACCUUUAACAUGCACGAAAGUGUGAUAAGGCAACUCCUUGUGCUUAUUCCAAAAGAUACGGUCUUUUUAGUAUGUAAUGUAUACUAAGAAUAAGUGAUGGGCAAGACCGGUGCCUGCAGCCGCGGUAAUACCGGCGUCACAAGUGGAGAUCACGAUUACUGGGUCUAAAGUGUUCGUAGCUGGUCAUAUAAGUCUCUUGUGAAAGUUCUGUAGCUUAACUCAGAAUUGCAAGAGAUACUGUAUGACUUGAGACCGGAA
Molecule: ribosomal RNA, 266 nt
Filed under: uncultured euryarchaeote
Lineage: Archaea; Methanobacteriati; Methanobacteriota
Description: partial 16S ribosomal RNA
Rfam family: Archaeal small subunit ribosomal RNA
Source: RNAcentral